RNAcentral lists this small RNA (129 nucleotides) under Marmota monax (woodchuck). The record is from RNAcentral. Lineage: Eukaryota; Metazoa; Chordata; Mammalia; Rodentia; Sciuridae.
GCCAGGUAUGGUGGCACAUGCCUGUAAUCCCAUUGGUUUAGGAGGCUGAGACAGGAGGAUUGCAAGUUCAAAACCAACCUCAGUCAGCAAUGGUGAGGUGCUAAGCAACUCAGUGAGACUCUGUCUCUA